Molecule: ribosomal RNA, 274 nt
Filed under: uncultured bacterium
Lineage: Bacteria
Description: partial 16S ribosomal RNA
Rfam family: Bacterial small subunit ribosomal RNA
Source: RNAcentral
AUACGGAGGGUGCAAGCGUUACUCGGAAUCACUGGGCGUAAAGCGCGCGCAGGCGGCUAUUUAAGUUGGAUGUGAAAGCCUACGGCUCAACCGUAGAACUGCAUCCAAAACUAUUUAGCUAGAGUGUGGGAGAGGAAGAUGGAAUUAGUUGUGUAGGGGUAAAAUCCGUAGAGAUAACUAGGGAUACCAAAAGCGAAGGCAAUCUUCUGGAACACUACUGACGCUGAGGCGCGAAAGCGUGGGGAGCAAACAGGAUUAGAAACCCCAGUAGUCC